CACACGACUCUCGGCAACGGAUAUCUCGGCUCUCACAUCGAUGAAGAACGUAGCGAAAUGCGAUACCUGGUGUGAAUUGCAGAAUCCCGUGAACCAUCGAGUCUUUGAACGCAAGUUGCGCCCGAGGCCAUCCGGCCGAGGGCACGCCUGCCUGGGCGUCACGC
RNAcentral lists this ribosomal RNA (164 nucleotides) under Oryza minuta. RNAcentral describes it as "5.8S ribosomal RNA". It matches the Rfam family "5.8S ribosomal RNA". Rfam says of the family: 5.8S ribosomal RNA (5.8S rRNA) is a component of the large subunit of the eukaryotic ribosome. It is transcribed by RNA polymerase I as part of the 45S precursor that also contains 18S and 28S rRNA. The record is from RNAcentral. Lineage: Eukaryota; Viridiplantae; Streptophyta; Magnoliopsida; Poales; Poaceae.